RNAcentral lists this long non-coding RNA (414 nucleotides) under Phascolarctos cinereus (koala). Its description in RNAcentral is "lncRNA (ENSPCIG00000016958.2)". Lineage: Eukaryota; Metazoa; Chordata; Mammalia; Diprotodontia; Phascolarctidae. The record is from RNAcentral.
UGAAAAAAAAGACAUGAAGAAGGUAGUUAGAAGCUGAAACAAUGCAAAGCAAUUUAAGGCACAGGUUCUACCUGUGGAACUGGGAAUGACACUUACUGGAAAAUAUUGACAGGAAGAACCGAGAAAGGAGGAAAUUACACAAAUAACAGAGAUUAACGAACAAUUACGGAAGCCUGUAGAAAGACAGCUAAGGAGGUACAAGAGAAGACUGUUGAAAACCAAAGACAUAAUAACAAAACCACCACAACAAUAACAACAACAAACAAAACAAAAACGAAAACAAAAUCCAAAACCCUUCCUGUGUUUCAGAGGAUGAGCAAUGUGCCCUCUCAAUCUUUAUAAUGAAUUCCUUAAGGAAGUUGGAGAUUUCUGACAGCAAUUUUUGAAUAAAGACCCACAGAUUUCCUUUCUCCA